This 401-nucleotide ribosomal RNA is filed under the name bacterium. RNAcentral's name for it is "partial 16S ribosomal RNA". It matches the Rfam family "Bacterial small subunit ribosomal RNA", at positions 355 to 776 of the family's 1533-position model. The record is from RNAcentral.
UGGGGAAUUUUGCACAAUGGGGGAAACCCUGAUGCAGCGACGCCGCGUGAUUUAGAAGGCCUUCGGGUUGUAAAAAUCUUUUUUACGGGAUGAAAAUGACAGUACCGUAAGAAUAAGGUCCGGCUAAAUACGUGCCAGCAGCCGCGGUAAUACGUAUGGACCGAGCGUUGUCCGGAAUCAUUGGGCGUAAAGGGUACGUAGGCGUCCUAAUAAGUUAGAAGUGAAAGAAUAUAGCUCAACUAUAUAAAGCUUUUAAAACUGUUAGGCUUGAGAGAGGAAAGGGAAAGUGGAAUUCCUAGUGUAGCGGUGAAAUGCGCAGAUAUUAGGAAGAAUACCGGUGCGAAGGCGACUUUCUGGUCAUCAUCUGACGCUGAGGUACGAAAGCGUGGGUAGCAAACAGG